UCGCGCCAUGCCUUCAGAUGCGGCGCGCGGCUGUGAGCGGUGAGAUCGUCGCGCGUCUCCCAGCGUUCGACGAACACCAGGGUAUUCGGAUCGUUUACGCUGGAAUGAAGUUCAUAGGAGAUGCAGCCCUUCUCCUUGUGAGUCUCGGCGAUGCAGGCUUUCGCGCCGGCGAUGAAGGCCUCGCGGCCUUCCGGCUUCACCU
This 202-nucleotide unclassified non-coding RNA is filed under the name Hevea brasiliensis (rubber tree). Lineage: Eukaryota; Viridiplantae; Streptophyta; Magnoliopsida; Malpighiales; Euphorbiaceae. The record is from RNAcentral.